AGCAGCCGCGGUAAUUCCAGCUCCAAUAGCGUAUAUUAAAGUUGUUGCAGUUAAAAAGCUCGUAGUUGAAUUUCGGGGUUAGUAGGUUGGUCAUGCCUCCGGUAUGUACUGAUCUCACUGAUUCCUCCUUCCUUAUGAACCGUAAUGCCAUUAAUUUGGUGUUGCGGGGAAUUUGGACUGUUACUUUGAAAAAUUAGAGUGUUUAAAGCAGGCUAACGCUUGAAUACAUUAGCAUGGAAUAAUGAAAUAGGACGUUCGAUCUUAUUUUGUUGGUUUCUAGGAUUGACGUAAUGAUUAAUAGGGAUAGUUGGGGCAUUAGUAUUCAAUUGUCAGAGGUGAAAUUCUUGGAUUUAUUGAAGACUAACUACUGCGAAAGCAUUUUGCCAAGGAUGUUUUCAUUAAUCAAGAACGAAAGUUAGGGGAUCGAAGACGAUCAGAUACCGUCGUAGU
Molecule: ribosomal RNA, 450 nt
Filed under: uncultured Glomeromycotina
Lineage: Eukaryota; Fungi; Glomeromycota
Description: SSU rRNA
Rfam family: Eukaryotic small subunit ribosomal RNA
Source: RNAcentral